This 3419-nucleotide long non-coding RNA is filed under the name Triticum aestivum (bread wheat). Its description in RNAcentral is "long non-coding RNA (TAES_LNC014700)". Lineage: Eukaryota; Viridiplantae; Streptophyta; Magnoliopsida; Poales; Poaceae. The record is from RNAcentral.
AAUAGUAAGAAAAUGUGGCAUAUGAACAAGAAAACAAUCUUUCCACCACAUGUUCAUUCACAAACUAAUAAUUCUCUAUUUAUCUUUGGGCUCUGCUUCCAUUUCCAUCUAAGAUGCAUCUCCAUCACUUUAUCUCACUAAUACAUAUUUUCCUACGGACCUCAAAUAUACAUACAAGAAUCACACGACAAGGUUGCAUCAUUGUCAUUCCAUCUCUUCUUUCACUUCGGCUCUUUUGGUCAUUGCAACACCAGCGUGCGCCGUCUUCACACUGCUCCAAAUCUGCCCAUGUUUCCAUCCGGCUCCAAAUACGCCCAUUUUUUUCUCUAAGUCAGUCAUGUCGUAACAAAUUUGUACUUUCAGCCUCAAAAUUUCAUUGUUUGGAAUGAGGAGGGAUUUCAGAGUUCACUUCUCUAAAAGAGAAUGCAACACAUAUUGAUACAGAUUAGUGAUGAACAAAAAAUUGCUUCCAUAGAUGUAAAUUACUUCUGUAUGAAAAUAUAUUUUGUUUCAAAUGUUGAUACUCCUUCCUUUUGGAACUUUAGUUUCCUUCAUAUGGUUUUUUCACUUCCUUUUUUUGGAUGGUAACUGUUUCGGGUCAAAUUACUUCUAUGGCAACUAAAUAUUGUUUCCAUAUGGUUAAAUUUUGUUUGUUUGGACUGACCAUAGAAAAUGAUUCCUUGAAUUGGCAAUCGCUUCAAUGUAGUACUCCCUCCGUCCCGCAAUAAGUGACUCAAAAAUGACUCAACUUUGUACUCCUUCCUUCAAUUGGAGUAUAUGUUUUCUUUUCUCAUAGGAAAGGAGAGUGCUUUAAUUUUUUACAGAACAAAAUUGAGAUUGAUUUAUUCUUUAGUUAAAAUUGGUGCCACGAAUAUGUUUCAUGGAAUCUGAGAAUUGUUCCAAACGUAUCGAUAAAGUACUUCCAAUAUAGUAAAAAUUGGCAGUCUGAGGAUUUUGCAUUGAACCUCUUUUAAAAUGGUGAUGAAAGACCACACAUGUUGAAGAUAAGUUUGGCCUUAAUCUAAUCGAGAAACAACUGUUUUUCAUACCAGACAAGCAACUACUCCUCUCUGACUCAAUGUGCCACACCAUUCACUCACCGCUGUAAUCCAUACACAUGUUCAGUACCUUUUGAAUUUUAUGCUCCCGCUUCUCCAUGUGUCAACCCCUUUGUUCCUUGUUGACCCUAGCUUGUCUUGAUGCAACAUCAAGCAACAACAAAAUAUUACACCUGAUACGACAUCAAGCUAUACAGGAACUAUUAGACCACCCAAAUUAUUGAAGCUUCAGAAUUUGUGUCUGGGUCCAUGCCUAAUAAACUGGAAGAAAACCAAAAGAUACUUAUUGAUAUGAAUCAACUUGGUUAAGUAUGGUCAAAUACAAUGCACGGUGGAAUAUCUGCCCUAGAAAACAAAAGAAAAGGAGAUGGAAGAAAUCAUGCACUCAAUGGGUGGCUGUAAGUUCACGGGUAUCAAGACUUGGCUCACAUAUCAUUGAUCAUGGGUCUGUGUCAAUAUGGCUCUGGUGCCCAGUUUAUCACGGUGUUUUGUUAUUAUUUCCGAGAUAGUACUUUCUAUUAUAGUGUUGAGAUAAGCAAUUUAGAUGUUUUAAAUAUUCCCAGCUCUUUGGAUAAGAAGUAUUUCAGUAACUGAAUAAUCUUUGACCGUCCAAAAGAACUAUGAUGUUUCUUUGGGAAUAACAACAGAACAAAAAAUCCGAGAAUCAUGGCUGACCUAUGAGGCGCAGAUGUUGUCGAGGACCUAUAACCAUGCCUCCUAUCCUUUGCGCAACCUUGAAACCACGAGUAAUUACCUGGCAUUAUUUCAUUAUCUCAGCUGGUUUUAUGACUUCGAACAUAUGAGAGUAGUCUAACAUGUAAAAUAAUUCUUUCUCAGGUUCCAAAUAAGUCAACAGUAGGUCAAAAGUAGAGGUGAAACAUUGCCAGGCAGACAGACACACAACAAUAGCCGAUGAUUAUAGCUUAAGGUCCAAUGAGGAUAAUAUAAGUAGUGGAAAACGGAAUUUUGUAUCCACAUCCCUAUUGAUCAAGGAGUAAGUCAACAUGAUACAAGGAACGUACAACAACACCCGAGACAAUAUAAUUACAACACUGCAGAAAAAUUAGAGAUCCAUGUAAUCAAAUAUCUCUUUGUUAAAUUUUAGCUGAACAACUUAACUUAUAGAGUGUCGAUGGUUCAGAUCUUUUUCCUUUUAAUUAACAUGUGAGUUAUUAUAAAGUGGGUAAUUUCUUUUUGCGGUAUAUAAAGUGGGUAAUUCAUAUAGACUAAGACAUGGAAAAAGGGUGUAGGUGGUGCAAAUUCAUAGCAAGUUUUAUAUUGGAUGCACACAAACAACUGUGUGGACACACAAAAAGAAAACAAUCACUUUGAAAGUUUGAAUAGAAAUGUCUAAAUGAACAUCAGAUGGUCUAGUGUCUCCACUGAGAGCACUACAUGGACCCCUCAUUAACAAUUUAGCAAUGAAUAAACAAUUCUAGUAUUUAGACAUGAGAAUACCUUGUACAGAAUUUCAAAGCCAUAAAAAACGUUACCACUGGUUUGGGUAUCCUGGAAAUAAAACAGAGGUAAUAAAUUCCUUAUAACUAAUCAGGUGCACAUAGAAAAUUGAUUACCUCUGGUUUGAUCCCAUGUGCUCUAGCCAAAAAUAGAUCAAAUCGGCAGGAUAUCCUAUAAGGAAACAAAUCUAGCAAGGAAACUGAUUAUUAUUAUAUCUAAUUUCCAGCUACCAGUGGUAGGCGCAAAGUGGAACACUAUUACGCAGGACAACAAAUUUGGGCAGGAGGAAGUAUAAUGGUUAUGAAUGCCAGGCAAAGUGUUUUAAGUUCAUAACUAUGAGCAUGCAAAUAAUUUAUAUGAAGGGUCCCUUUUCUUCUGCAUAAGUCAGACAUACUUUAUGUAUGUGUAAUGUGUCAACCUGUACACAAAUACAAAAUAUAUAUUACAACGGAAAAUGCGUGAAUAUGAUGAUGAAUAUCUUAUUCUGAACUCUUUUGCAUCUUUUAUAAUGGACAGGGAUUGAGAUUCUAAUUUCGACACUACUGGAGAGUAUGUUGUGUGCAAAACGAAACUACAUGCAUUAAUCUACAUGAUUGUUCGUACCAACAGAGAAACAAUUUUGCAUCUAGUAGAUGUGUGUAUGUUUCAGGGUUACUUUCACAAUAUUUAGUUGCUAUAGAAAAAACACUUAAGGCUAGCAAAUAGAAUUAACCUAGUACAUAGAAAGUAGAGAACUGAUCGUUGCAGUAAAUUAUGAACUGAUAUCACACAUAAAACAGUAACAUACCCCAAAAUCUAUUCCUCGCAGCUCUCCACAAGUCUUCCUUCGCCCUCUUCUGCUCCACCAACCCCUGUUAUGAUUUCUCUCCCCUUAAAUCACUCUUCUUACUCCGCAUACCAUCU